UUCCGGUUGAUCCUGCCAGAGGUUACUGCUAUCGGAGUUCGAUUAAGCCAUGCGAGUCUAAAGGUUUCUUCGGAAACCUUGGCGGACUGCUCAGUAACACGUGGAUAACCUACCCUUGGGACUGGAAUAACCCCGGGAAACUGGGGAUAAUACCGGAUAGAUCAGGGAUGCUGGAAUGCGCCUUGAUCCAAAGCUCCGGCGCCCAAGGAUGGGUCUGCGGCCUAUCAGGUUGUAGUGGGUGUAACGUACCUACUAGCCGACGACGGGUACGGGUUGUGAGAGCAAGAGCCCGGAGAUGGAUCCUGAGACACGAAUCCAGGCCCUACGGGGUGCAGCAGGCGCGAAACCUUUACAAUUGUGCGAAAGCAUGAUAAGGGAACUCCGAGUGCCAGUAUCUAAUACUGGCUGUCCUUGUGCCUAAAACGCACAAGAUAGCAAGGGCCGGGUAAGACCGGUGCCAGCCGCCGCGGUAACACCGGCGGCCCGAGUGGUAGCCGCUAUUAUUGGGUCUAAAGGGUCCGUAGCCGGUUCGAUAAGUCCUCUGGGAAAUCUGGUUGCUUAACAAUCAGACUGCCAAGGGAUACUGUCGAACUUGAGACCGGGAGAGGUAAGAGGUACUUCAGGGGUAGGAGUGAAAUCUUGUAAUCCCUGGGGGACCAUCUGUGGCGAAGGCGUCUUACCAGAACGGGUCUGACGGUGAGGGACGAAAGCUGGGGGCGCAAACCGGAUUAGAUACCCGGGUAGUCCCAGCCGUAAACGAUGCUCGCUAUGUGUCAGGUACGGUGUGACCGUAUCUGGUGCCGUAGGGAAGCCGUGAAGCGAGCCACCUGGGAAGUACGGCCGCAAGGCUGAAACUUAAAGGAAUUGGCGGGGGAGCACUACAACGGGUGGAGCCUGCGGUUUAAUUGGAUUCAACGCCGGGAA
RNAcentral lists this ribosomal RNA (924 nucleotides) under uncultured archaeon. Its description in RNAcentral is "bacterial SSU rRNA". It matches the Rfam family "Archaeal small subunit ribosomal RNA", at positions 1 to 924 of the family's 1478-position model. The record is from RNAcentral.